RNAcentral lists this ribosomal RNA (378 nucleotides) under uncultured bacterium. RNAcentral's name for it is "bacterial SSU rRNA". It matches the Rfam family "Bacterial small subunit ribosomal RNA", at positions 29 to 433 of the family's 1533-position model. The record is from RNAcentral.
AACGAACGCUGGCGGCAGGCUUAACACAUGCAAGUCGAACGGGUGUCGCAAGACAUCAGUGGCAGACGGGUGAGUAACACGUGGGAACCUUCCUAGGGGUACGGAACAACUCAGGGAAACUUGAGCUAAUACCGUAUACGUCCGUAGGGAGAAAGAUUCAUCGCCCCUAGACGGGCCCGNGUCGGAUUAGGUAGUUGGUGGGGUAACGGCCUACCAAGCCUACGAUCCGUAGCUGAUCUGAGAGGANGAUCAGCCACACUGGGACUGAGACACGGCCCAGACUCCUACGGGAGGNAGCAGUGGGGAAUCUUGGACAAUGGGCGCAAGCCUGAUCCAGCCAUGCCGCGUGAGUGAAGAAGGCCUUAGGUUGUAAAGCUC